This is a long non-coding RNA of Gorilla gorilla gorilla (western lowland gorilla), 863 nucleotides long. RefSeq lists it as uncharacterized. NCBI's taxonomy places the organism in Eukaryota, Metazoa, Chordata, Mammalia, Primates, Hominidae. The transcript has 5 exons. The record is from RefSeq and is a predicted model, not a curated record.
UCAUUCCUGGGGAAGCCAGCUACCAUGUUUGAGGCUACUCAAUGAGUCCUAGGAGAGGUCCAUGUGGUAUGGAGUGGAGGCCUCUCUCCAACAGCCAGUGAGGAACUGAGGCCUUGCACCAACAGCAUGCCAUGCUAUGGAGAUUGCACAAUGGACCUAUUGCUUCAAAGGAGAGUCACACAACACUCCCCAGCCACUGUGUUGACAGCCCUGGGCUGGAGGAAAGGCAGCAGUCUUCACAGAGCUGACUUUACGGCCGGGCUCACCCUUCACCCCAAGACAGCUUUGAUCACUGGGAAGUUUCCACAAACACAGAAUGAAUGAGGAAGAAGGUGGUUAGAUUUUCGGUGUGAUCCACGUGGACGAGAGGUGUUGCAUGCUUUUACAAAUUGAAGGUCUGUGACAACCCUGGGUCAAGCAAGUCUAUCAGUGCCAUUCUUCCAACAUAGGUGUAUAUGCUGGAGCAGCUGUACUUAAGUUCAGAAAUAAGAAGACAAUUGAUCUGAGGACUCAGGAGAGAGCAUGGCUGCUGCAUAGAUGGUGCCUUCCAUCGCUUGGCAUAGGGAAGCCCAGCCAAAGCCUGUGUCUUGGGCAGCCCGGGAGCUCUCAGGAUGGCUUGAAAUCUCCCACAUGGCCUGGGCCUGUUCUCCUUCCCCUCCAGCUCUCCUGGGUGCAGUCAAAGCUUCACUCCCUACUCCCUACUGAACUAUCGGCUGACUGAUUCCCACUUGUCCAUGCCCCAGGACCCCACAGAAGCUCCACAUGCUUCCACAAGCUGAUGCGCCAGUUCCAAGAGGGGGAAGAAAAGCUGGCACUCAGCCUUUAUUUCUCCCCAAACUCCACAGUCAUUCAAUUCUGAAAAA